This 31-nucleotide ribosomal RNA is filed under the name uncultured Ascomycota. RNAcentral describes it as "partial 28S ribosomal RNA". Lineage: Eukaryota; Fungi; Ascomycota. The record is from RNAcentral.
UUGACCUUAAACCUCUGACUGACCUCAGAUC